Molecule: ribosomal RNA, 627 nt
Filed under: Triticum aestivum (bread wheat)
Lineage: Eukaryota; Viridiplantae; Streptophyta; Magnoliopsida; Poales; Poaceae
Description: partial small subunit ribosomal RNA
Source: RNAcentral
AUGAUUUCUAUUCGUCACUCGCGCAUAACAUCGCGAGUAUAUAGGGAAGUGGAGAAGCCCAUGGCAUGGAAAGGGGAACCCUUGGCUCCUCCGUGGCCAAUAAAGAGGGGAACAGCUACAGUUAACAUCUUAUGGCUUCUUCCACCUCCCUCUACUACCUUUGCAAUCUCUAGAGCUCCAGCGCCCUGCCUUUCUGCUCCGCGGCGAAUCCCGUCUAGCUCCUCCCUAGCCCCGGGCAUGGCCGGACCCGGCGCAAAUGGCAAGUGGGACGCCUCCGUCGUCACCAACAAUGACAUCGUGGAGUUGAAGCGAGCCGACUACUUAUUGGUCGACAUUGCCCAUCAGGCCCCCGAGGAGGGCCAAAUCAUCCCCAUGCCCAAGCGGGGCGAGAGGGUGGUAUUCCUUCCCCAUUUUAUCCGAGGUCUAGGAUAUCCAGUGCACACCUUUGCGAGGGAGUUGAUGUUCUACGGGCUAGAUUUACAUGAUCUAGCCCCCAACUCUCACCUCCACAUCUCGACCUUCAUCAUCGUCUGUGAGCCUCUCCUGCAAGUUCAGCUGUACUUCGGCCUGUGCCUGAAGGUGUUCAACGUCAAGCCUAAGGUGGUCACUGGCGCCCAGGCGGACUAG